UUGAACGCUGGCGGCAUGCCUUACACAUGCAAGUCGAACGGCAGCAUGGGGGCAACCCUGGUGGCGAGUGGCGAACGGGUGAGUAAUACAUCGGAACGUGCCCUGAAGUGGGGGAUAACGUAGCGAAAGUUACGCUAAUACCGCAUAUUCUGUGAGCAGGAAAGCAGGGGAUCGCAAGACCUUGCGCUUUAGGAGCGGCCGAUGUCGGAUUAGCUAGUUGGUGAGGUAAAGGCUCACCAAGGCGACGAUCCGUAGCGGGUCUGAGAGGAUGAUCAGCCACACUGGAACUGAGACACGGUCCAGACUCCUACGGGAGGCAGCAGUGGGGAAUUUUGGACAAUGGGGGAAACCCUGAUCCAGCCAUUCCGCGUGAGUGAAGAAGGCCUUCGGGUUGUAAAGCUCUUUCGGCAGGAACGAAACGGCGGAAUCUAAUACAUUCCACUAAUGACGGUACCUGAAGAAGAAGCACCGGCUAACUACGU
Molecule: ribosomal RNA, 482 nt
Filed under: uncultured bacterium
Lineage: Bacteria
Description: bacterial SSU rRNA
Rfam family: Bacterial small subunit ribosomal RNA
Source: RNAcentral